CCCCCGCCCCCCCCCCCAGCUCCCAGUAUUGUCUUCCGGUUGCUAGACGACGCCGCUUUCCAGUACAUUAUUCGGAAUAUAAAAACUAAAAUGGGAUGUGUCACACGGCCCCUUCGCAUCUCCUAUCGGCGGGGCCGACGGCUGCUGACGCAGACGGAAGAGAAACUCGGAGGAGAUACCGUCCCAGAUGUAAAGGGGUGAACUCUCUCUUCCUCUGACCUCGACAGAAGUCCGAGGAGGAAGACUCAACUCUCUCUUAUCUAAAGGCCCGGUGCCCACAGCGGCGCUCAGCGUAUCCACGCCGCGAGAGUUACUGGGCGUUCGCGGCUCGCCUGCGAUUGAGGAAUUCUACGUUCCUCAAGCUGAAGGCCGCUUCGUGCCUCCUGGGCCCUCGGAGAGAUCGGAGGAGUUGGGCCAAGGCCUCCCUCCCUCCCUCCUCCUCCUCACCGCCCUUUUGAGGCUGUAUAUUCUGCUUCCCCGACAGACGCAGGAAAGUGGGGUCGUUCUAGAGGGAGACGGAGCCUUCCCGGAUUUAGGAACACAGGUGUUGGCCCCGCCGGGGCCAAAGGCUCCCGUCUCUAGGAGCUCCUAGGAGGAAAUUCAUCUGAAAUGUGCUCACCCUCCCUGGUGGGGAACGGGGCUGUGGGUGAGGCAGCCCAUGCGGGCAGGCGGCCCUUACACAGGCUUUCCAGAAAGAGCUGGAAAGCAGAUACCCAAGCCACAGGAAAAAGAAUGACCUCUUGCAGCCAAGAGCCUGACUGGAAAGUCCGCGUAAAGGACACCUGGAGGAAGUGGGGGGCUCCAUCACCUCCUCCGCCCACCGGUAACCCUUUCUUCCUCACUCGGCCGCCCCGCACAUCCGCCUUCCCGGAGGCUCACCCCAUCUUUGCCGUUCGAAAGCUCACUGGGUUCUCCCAACACAUCAGAGCUUUUUUUUUUUCUUUUCCCUUUUUCUUUUCUUUUCUUUCUUUUUUUUUUUUUUUUCAUCUUGUUUGAAAAGCCUUUUGUGAGGUUGGGAGUGACCCAAAAGUCGCCUCUCUAUUCCUGUCUGAGGAGAGAGUAUUUCCAGAUCGGAGGUGCGGUCUGCAGGGCCCGGGCCAGGCGUCCAUGAAUACCGGAUUAUGCUUCCUACCCCAGUCUCCUAAGCGUGUGCCAGCCACAGUUCCAGAAUGAACCAUAAGCGGAGAAAAAAAAAUUUUGUGAAUCAAGAGGUUUAUUAUUUUCUCCCAGUAAGGAUUUUGAAACCCAGAUUUCCACAUUUCUAAGGGUUUGAUGUCAUAAAAUUCCCAUGUAUGAUUACAUUUUAAAAAACAGACUCAUUGUGUGUGUGUGUGUGUGUGUGUGUGUGUGUGUGUUGGAAUGUAAGAGGUCUAGCAUACAACUCAGAAAAUGAAUUCCUAAACCCAGAGUUUGAAAGGCACAGACACAACGGGCCAUCGAGCUGGGCAUCUGCUACAACGAAUCCAUGGGAUGUUAAGUCUGUUGUCCUGGAACCAUCUGGAAAUUAAAUGUUCGUCUUCUGAAAAUAACCGGGACCUCCAAAUGUUGUUGUUACUCUGAAUGCUGUGUAAGCAGGUUUCUAUUUAAAACUUUCACACCGGCUACUUGAGUAUUUCUUGUUCUCCGAAGGGUACCCUCUAUACCUCUUGGAUUCUUUUCCACCUUCCCUUUUCCAUGUUAAUUUGGCUUAAUCCCACCUGCUGGCACGAAGGGAAAGAUAUUUAUAAACAUCAUCUAUAGGGGCGCCUGGGUGGCUCAAUCAGUUAAGCCUCCGACUUUGGCUCAGGUCAUGAUCUCACGGUCCGUGAGUUCAAGCCCCGUGUUGGGCUCUGUGCUGACGGCUCAGAUCCUGGAGCCUGCUUUGGAUUCUGCGUCCCCCUCUCUCUGCCCCUCCCCUGCUUGUACUCUGUCUCUCAAAAGUAAGUCGAUAUUUUAAAAUUCUAUAUAUAAAAAAAGUCCUCUGUAAAAGGAGCUGGGGAGUUGUGUGGUUUUUCACCUUUGCUGCUGCAACCAGACUUAGGUGGAGACCAGACAGUCCUCCAGCAGUGAGGGGUGGAGAGGGCCUGGGAGAUGGGGAGGAAAGAGUGUGUCCCUGCCUUUAUGUUAAAGAGAAGGCAAGACAUUGCCCAACACAGUUACACCUUAGCAGACUACUCUAGCAAGGCCCUUGGAUGCCCCCUUGGGUCCCAGGGUGCCCAAUCUAAAUAAACUCCAGAUCUGUCAACACUGGCUUGGGGCCGGGAAACCAGACCAAACCCUCGGUCUUUCUUAUUGUCUAAAUUGUCUAGAUCCAAAGUCCUCCUAGUCCUAAUUAUGGACUGAGAAGCAGUGAAGCCCAGACACUCCAGGGACUGUGGAUUUUGUUCCUCUGUUUAUUUCCCUAAUUGUGUAAAACUUCUCACUUCGGGUCUUCAGAGGGCCCUCCUCCCUGUUUCCUCCUCCUCCUCCUCUCCUCUCCUCUUGGGCACCGCCAGUGUUGAGGGCAGGAGCAGCCCGGGGUGACAUCAGCGGGGACAGAAGCAUGCUGGGGCAGACCCGCCGUGCCCAUGAACAAGACAGCACUGUGUACAGAGGCUUUUCAAGGCGGUUUCGCAGAUACGGGGAUGUUGGACAGCGAGGAACAGAGAAAUUCCAGAGAUUUUUCACGUGCAAGCGGAUAUUUCCUUUGAGAGUUUCUAGACUAAAUAAUACUCCUUGUGUCUAAGGGACGGUGGAUACUGCUGACCUGGCAAUGUUCUCUGUGCGCGGGGAGAGGCAGAGGAAAGUGAAGUUGCCUGAGUAAAUGUCUUUACUUAGACGAAUAUUGGGGCUGUUCUUCCUCUGCCUGACGCGACAUCCAUUUCAAAUACGGAGGAAGAACCUGUUGGCAGAUCUCGGGAAUAAAACGGGCCGGACUUCUAAGAAUAAAUAUACCCGGGGCUCCCUAUUCACCAUUUUCACAUGCCCCAGCCUCUGACAACCACCGAUCCUUUUACUACCUCCGUAAUUUUGCCUUUUCCAGAAUGUUCUCUAAGUGAGAUCACAUCGUGUGUUGCCUUUUGAGGUCGGCUUGUUUCACUUAGUAUUAUGCAUCUGAGUUUCCCCCGUGUCUUUGCAGGGCUUGAUAGCUCAUCAGCUUUGAGUACUAAAUAACAUCCCAUCAUCUGGAUGUAGCCAUGUUCAUAUGUAUUUAAUGCCAGGCUGUCUAAUGGGGGCGAUAUUAUUUAUUAAUAACUGGCAUUAUAAUAAAAUCUACGAUAUGACGAAAGCAAGACUUAGCUUAAAUAGAACCACCUCUGUAUCAACCUAUUAAUAGGAAGGCUGUUAUUAUUAUUAUCUUUCUGGUUGAAGUAAGUAAAUCGAGACCCAGAGAGAAACUGUCUUACACGUGGCAGAUAGGUCAGUGAAGGGAGAGACCUAUAAAGGGACUGAAGAGUCUAGAAUCCCAGCCAUUUGCUCUAUGACAGAUCAGAGCAUAUUGUACUGGGUUGU
Molecule: long non-coding RNA, 3471 nt
Organism: Acinonyx jubatus (cheetah)
Lineage: Eukaryota; Metazoa; Chordata; Mammalia; Carnivora; Felidae
Exons: 3
Source: RefSeq, a predicted model, not a curated record